Molecule: long non-coding RNA, 4852 nt
Filed under: Octopus vulgaris (common octopus)
Lineage: Eukaryota; Metazoa; Mollusca; Cephalopoda; Octopoda; Octopodidae
Source: RNAcentral
CUCCCCUCCUCCUUCAUUCUCUGUCUAUAUCGCUCACUCACUCCCGCUUUCUUUCUCUAUGUAUCUCACUCGCUUACUCCUCCUCCUCUCGCUCCCUCAUUCACUUUAUACCUAUUCCUCCCGCUCCUCUACCUCUCUCUUUACAGUUACGAGCUGAAGAUCGUUAGCACCAUCGUUACCUUCCUUCUUUCGUCACCGAAACUGUUCUUAUCAAAGCUUUUGUUUAAGAAGGAAUACGUUUUAUUAUUUUUUUUUUAAAACACCCAGCUUCCCGCAAAUUAAUUUCCUUGCUUAAAAUACAUAAAGAAAGAGAAAAAGGAACGAAAAUAAGGUCCAUAUUAAGAGGAACACCCUAUCCGUUAAACAACGUCUGUUCACUAAUUUGCUUCGGAUUAUACAGCACCUGUUAAAAAAAUUAAGCAAUUUCCAGCAAGUAUUUCAGGUAUUUUCGAUCUUCUUCUGUUCAACUAUUUGUAUUUACGUGCGAAUGGAAACUACAUGUAUAUAUAUUUUAUGUAUGUUUAUAAAUAUAUUACAUAUAUAAUGUGUGCGUAUACAUAUAUGUACGUAUAAUGCAAUCUAUGUAUUUAUAUAUUUAAUGUAAUAUAUGUUUGGGUGCAUAUAUAGUGCUCUCUGUCCCUCUAUCAAUAUAUAUAUAUAUUUAUAUACACACACAAUCACACAUACACGUAUGUGUGUGUGUACCAUGUAAUAUGUCAAUUUAUAUGUAUAAAAUGCAUUAUGGAUAUGUCUUAGACAGAUACAUGAAGCCGUAUCUGUCUAAGAUAUUUCUAUAUCUAUUAGGCAAUAUAUUUGUGUUUUUAAUGUAAUGUAUGUAUUUAUCAUGCAAAUGAUGUGUGUAUGUAUAUAAUACAAUAGAUACAAUAGAUAUGUAUGAAUGCAGGGUAUGUAUGCAAUAUGUGUGGGUCUGUGUAUUAUGUUAUGUACACAUAUGUAUAUAUAAUGUUUGAUCAUGUGCCAAUGCACGAAACUCUCGGACCUUGAGUCACUCUGUUGCUUCUACUCUCUCUCUUUAUCUAUCUAUCUAUCUAUCUAUCUAUCUAUCUAUCGUCAGUAAAUCAUAAAUCCGAAAGAGAAACACACUCCAAGUUUAUAUAUCUCGUACGCGUACAUAAUAUAUAAGGUAAUAUGGAACACACACAUGUAUAAAUUCAACAGGCACAUAUAUGUCACAAGUACUGCAAUAAAUAUUAGAAAGCCUAGCUGUGAGAGAAAUAGGGAUGUAAACACACUCCAUCUGUGAUUUUGUUGUGUGGAAAAACUGAGUGAGAGAGUCUCCUAGCAGCUGUUUCAUGGUUUGUUGGCUGCUCUUCCGAAAGGACAUACCCGGUUACCUUUGACAAUCAAUAACGUAGAAUAUUCAAGUAUUAUAUAUAGCAGUCGGAAAUUUGCUUAUCAAUGGUAGAGUAGCUUCAUUUGCAUAUAUGUACUUUUGACAGCUCAUCAUUUGUUAAAGUAUGUAUGUAUUUUAUGCACAACAGAGCACGAAUCAGAAUUACUGGAAUAAAUGUAAAUAUUUAGAAAAAUGGUCCUCCCAAACCAAUCAAACCAGCAUGGAAAGUAAAAUAAUGAGGAUACUAUAUAUGUAAUGUAUACACACACACACACACACGAGGGGUUGCUGAAAGUUCCUGACUUUGGGUAAAAGAAAAUACAGGAGGAUCAGUUAAUUAUAAUUUUAUUCAACAUAUUCCUCAUAUUCACACACUGUGGUCCUUUAGUUUCUCUAACCCCUGUAAAAGAACUCAGAAUGUUGGGCCUCCAGCUAGGCCUUUAGUGACACCCUUAAAAUCAGAAACUUUUAGCACACCCUCAUACAUACACACUCACAUAUAUAUUCCCCCAUCACACUCCUAUCUACUGUAUUCUGCUAUUGCAACUUAUGACAUUAGAAUCUGUUAUUGCAAAGCAUUUCAUAUUACCUUUUCUAUACUGCCAGUCACCACUUCCUUUCCUUUUGGCUACACCCAUUUGACAUCAUAACCUUGCCCCCUCCAUAUUUACAAUUAGUCACCUCCAUCUAGUCAUUUUUGUACUCCUGCAACCUUACCCACCACUGCUGAGUCCCUUUCAUGCUUUCUUCGAUUCAUCUUCAUGUAAAUUUUUGAGGCUAUGUUUUGGCUACUCAUUGCUGUUCUUAUUUAGCUCCCUUUGUAAAAUCCCAUCUACCUAUGUAAAAUGCAAAGUAGCCAAUGGAUCUCCUUCACACCAAACAUAUUGUGGCUGCUCCUAUCAUUUAUUAACUGCUCAGCAUAUCACAUAAAAUGACCACUUUAUUUCCUAUUCUUCUUCGUGGACAAGAGAGCUUUUUAGUCUUGUGAGUUACAAGGCAACCUCACCAAUGUUGGUGCCACACACACACACAAAAGCCCAGUGUACCAUAUAAAAAAGUAAUUGUUAUUGGGCAGAGUAUACAGCUGCAGAAACUAUGCCCAAAUUGUAUCACUGGAACAAAAUGUGGUCCUCUAACUUGUUAGAUCCACUCUGUCUAACCAUCCACUCCAUGUGUACAUGCAUGUAUAUAUACAUAUACACACACAUAUGUAUGUGUCAAUCAAAUUCAAAUAUAACUGGAUUUUCACACUUUAUUUUUGUAUUUUCACUAGUACUUUCAGGUUUUAUAAUAAUCUUUUGGUAAAUGUUUACAUAACAACUGUAGCAGCUUGAUGGCAUCAUUGUAUAGAUUUUUAUACUGAUUUUGUCUAUAUUAGGCAUGAGUCAUCAAGAUUUUUUUAUGACUUUUCUGACCAAUGGAUAUAUAUAUAUAUAUAUAUAUCAUGAGAAAGACACACACUUGUCAGUACCUGAUGCCAUCCAGUAUACAGAGAACAUAACAUUCCAUACUGUCUUGUCAAAGGAAUUGCACUGUUAUUGAGAAUAGCAAGUGGAUUUCUACCCAAACAAAAAUAUUUAUCAUUACUUAUACAAAAUGAUAUAGAUUGUACAAAGCAAAUACUUAUAGAAUAAUUUUGAACAGGUGUGGCUGUGUGGUUGCUUCCCAACCCCAUGGUUCUGAGUUCAGUCUUACUGUGUAGCACCUUAGGCUAAUGUCUUCUACUAUAGACUCAGGCUAACCAAAGCCUUGUGAGUGGAUUUGGUAGAUGGAAACUGAAAAAGCCCUUUGUAUAUGUGUGUGUUUGUGGAACGUGUGUGUCUGUCUGUUUGUCCCCCACCACUGCUUGACAACCAGUGUUGGUGUGUUUACAUUUCCAUAACUUAGCAAUACAACAGAGGAGUCUGAUAGGAUAAGUAUUAGGCUUUAAAAAAAAAAGGUACUUAGGCUUAUUCUUUUGAGUAAAAAUUCUUCAAGGCAGUACCCUAGCUGCAAUCUAAUGACUGAUAAAAGAUAAAAGAAUUCAAUCCAUAUUAACGACAUUCUCCAUAGUAUACAAAAUACAUACAUAUAGAAGCUUUUGUAAUGAUACAUAAUCCAUGUAAUCAAGAGAUUUUUCAUGUUGUCAAGGCAGACUUAACUUAUUAUCAUACAAAGUAAUAAAUUAAAGGAUUUAGUUUCCAAUCAGAUUCUUGUUCAUAGCAAAUGACAUUUGAAAAACUUGAAACUGUUAUUGAUAAAGGCAAAGUUUGAUUUAAACAAUGGCAAUAAAAAACUUCACAAUAGCUUAGAGCAUUGACAGGCAUUGUGCUUGUAUAUCAACUUAUAAAUGCUGGUUACUAUAUCAACACAGAGACUGGAAGAAAAAUAUCCACAUAUGCAAAUGUGAGCUGUAAAAAGAGACAUUGCUUAUUGUAUUAAAUCAAAUGUCUAAUUUGUGAGCAAAUAUAUACAUUGGUAGACUGAAAAUUCAAAAUCAGAACACAAGUGAGUAUUCUUGCAGCAAAGUAGGGACCCUAAUAAAGUAGGGACCGUAACAAAGUAGGGACUUGUCAGGCAAAUCCUAUUAAGUAGUCAUUUAGAAACAUGCUAUAAUAAUUUUUUUUUUCGAUAUUUCUAUUUUAUAAACAUUAUGAUCAAGUGAAGUUAAAAGAGGGGAAGAAGAAAAGAAUUUUAUUGUAGUUCAAAUGAGGUCUGAAUCAUCAUCAUCAGCAUACAUCUAUUUUCCAUACUGGCAUGGGUUGGCCAGUUUGAUAGGAGCUGGUAAGGCCAGGCAUUGCAUCAGGUUCCAUAGUCUGGUUUGGUUUGGUGUCCACAGUUGGAUGCCCUUAACACUAACCACUUUACAGAGUGUACUGGGUGCUUUUUAUGUGGUACCAUCACCAGUGCUUUAUACGUGGCACCAUUACCAGUGCUUUUUACGUGGUACCUUCACCAUGCUUUUUAAAUGGCACCAUCAUCAGUGCUUUGUACGUGGCACCAUCACCAGUGCUUUUUAAAUGGCACCAUCACCAGUGCCUUGCACGUGGCACCAUCACCAGUGCUUUUUAUGUGGCAUCAUCACCAGUGCUUUUUACGUGGCACCAUCACCAGUGCUUUUUAAAUGGCACCAUCACCAGUGCCUUGCACGUGGCACCAUCACCAGUGCUUUUUACGUGGCAUCAUCACCAGUGCUUUUUACGUGGCACCAUCACCAGUGCUUUUUAAAUGGCACCAUCACCAGUGCCUUGCACGUGGCACCAUCACCAGUGCUUUUUACGUGGGAUCAUCACCAGUGCUUUUUACGUGGCACCAUCACCAGUGCUUUGUACAUGGCACCAUCACCAGUGCUUUUUAUGUGACACCAGUACCAGUGCUUUUUACAUGGCACAAGCAUCAGUGUUCCUCAUGAACAACCAUUGCCAAAGUGGUUUUAGGAUAUUUAUUCUGCUGGGGUGGAUGGGUUCUGAAUGGACAAUAAUAUUUAAGUUGAAUUUGAUUUUAAAAUAACACUUACUG